Molecule: ribosomal RNA, 253 nt
Filed under: uncultured bacterium
Lineage: Bacteria
Also listed under: 1 other name
Description: partial 16S ribosomal RNA
Rfam family: Bacterial small subunit ribosomal RNA
Source: RNAcentral
GACGAAGGGUGCUAGCGUUGUUCGGAAUGACUGGGCGUAAAGGGCGCGUAGGCGGUCUUUUAAGUUAGGCGUGAAAGCCCCGGGCUUAACCCGGGACGUGCGCUUAAGACUGAAAGGCUUGAGUAUGGAAGAGGUAAGUGGAAUUCCUAGUGUAGAGGUGAAAUUCGUAGAUAUUAGGAAGAACACCAGUGGCGAAGGCGGCUUACUGGUCCAUUACUGACGCUGAGGCGCGAAAGUGUGGGGAGCAAACAGG